GGUUUUAAAAGUGGCAGUUUUUCCUGCGCUCACACUUCUCUUCCCUCUUGCCGCCAUGUAAGAUUUGUCUGCUUCCCCUUCCGCCGUGAUUGUAUGUUUCCCUGAGGCCUCCCAAGCCAUGUGGAACUAUGGAUAACCUGCUCUCCCAGAACCAUUUAUUAAAGAGUUCAUCCUUUGCCACUGGAUUCCAGGCCUUCCUUCAAGAAAGGAGUACUCUCCUUGAACAGACAAGCUGUGGCCAAGUGAGCUUUCUUCUGCCGCUUGACCUGCAAACCCAACACAAAGAGGCCAGCCUCUCCUCUCCUACCCCCACCUUGAACCUCAAAUCCUGUAAGCAUCCUAUGGCAAGUUCAAAGCAAGGUCCAACAACCCCUCCCAUCCCUCAGAAGCAAGUGUGGCUGAGGCUCCAUCACAGCGUUCCACCAGGGAGGACCCUGAGCUCCGCAAGGCAGCAAAGCAGUUCUGUUUUACGGCCUCUGAAGAGACUUCGUCAUACUGUCACCUCACGCUAACCAGACUUCAGUAAUUGCGGGGGAAUGGGGAGGGGCCCUAAUCUACCUUGGGCCUGCUUCAUACUGAUACCAAGGGCCAGAGGAAUUCAGAGAGCCAUGUGGACUGGAAAGGGCAGAGAAGGUAUCCUGGUGGAGGUGGCAUGUGAUCUGGGCCUUGAAGGGUGGAUAGGAGUUGAAACAGAGAAGAGAAGACACCCUCUGCAGUGGCACCUGCUGGGCCGUGAAUUGGUGGUAGGGUGGACAUAAGCGGCUUGAGCCACAGGCGAUAGGAUGAAAGCCACGUUGGAAGAACAGCUGCGUGGCCCUGCAGUCAGAGGCUGCUCUGGGUUG
Symphalangus syndactylus (siamang) is the source of this 842-nucleotide long non-coding RNA. RefSeq lists it as uncharacterized. The record is from RefSeq and is a predicted model, not a curated record. Lineage: Eukaryota; Metazoa; Chordata; Mammalia; Primates; Hylobatidae.